Molecule: ribosomal RNA, 253 nt
Filed under: uncultured bacterium
Lineage: Bacteria
Description: partial 16S ribosomal RNA
Rfam family: Bacterial small subunit ribosomal RNA
Source: RNAcentral
AACGUAGGUGGCAAGCGUUAUCCGGAUUCACUGGGCGUAAAGCGCACGCAGGCGGCGCGGUUGGUAGGGCAUGAAACCUCCCGGCUUAACUGGGAGACGCUGUCCUAUACCGCCGCGCUUGAGGCUGGAAGAGGGAAGUGGAAUUGCCGGUGUAGCGGUGAAAUGCGCAGAUAUCAGGAGGAACACCGGUGGCGAAGGCGGGUCUCUGGGCCGUAACUGACGCUGAGGAGCGAAAGCAUGGGGAGCGAACAGG